Molecule: ribosomal RNA, 435 nt
Filed under: uncultured bacterium
Lineage: Bacteria
Description: bacterial SSU rRNA
Rfam family: Bacterial small subunit ribosomal RNA
Source: RNAcentral
GAACGUCCUCUUCUUCUUUUAUAGGGAUAGGGAGUGGCGGACGGGUGAGGAACACAUGGGUGACCUACCCUGACGAGAGGGAUACCGGCGAGAAAUCGCCGACAAACCCGCAUAGGGUCUGCUCGGUCGAGCGAGCGGAGCAAAGGUUUCUGCAAAGGAGCCGCGUUGGGAUGGGCCUGUGGCCGAUUAGCUGGUUGGUGGGGUAAGGGCCUACCAAGGCGACGAUCGGUAGCUGGUCUGAGAGGACGGACAGCCACACUGGGAUUGAGAACGGCCCAGACUCCUACGGGGGGCAGCAGUGAGGAAUUUUCCGCAAUGGGGGCAACCCUGACGGAGCAACGCCGCGUGCAGGAGGACGCUUUUCGGAGUGUAAACUGCUUUUGUGUGGGACGAGAGAGGACGGUACCACACGAAGAAGCCCCGGCUAACUACGUG